This 394-nucleotide ribosomal RNA is filed under the name uncultured bacterium. RNAcentral's name for it is "bacterial SSU rRNA". It matches the Rfam family "Bacterial small subunit ribosomal RNA", at positions 30 to 426 of the family's 1533-position model. The record is from RNAcentral.
AUUGAACGCUGGCGGCAUGCCUUACACAUGCAAGUCGAACGGCAGCGCGGGGCAACCUGGCGGCGAGUGGCGAACGGGUGAGUAAUAUAUCGGAACGUACCCUGGAGUGGGGGAUAACGUAGCGAAAGUUACGCUAAUACCGCAUACGAUCUAAGGAUGAAAGCAGGGGGACCGCAAGGCCUUGUGCUCCAGGAGCGGCCGAUAUCUGAUUAGCUAGUUGGUGGGGUAAAGGCCUACCAAGGCAUCGAUCAGUAGCUGGUCUGAGAGGACGACCAGCCACACUGGAACUGAGACACGGUCCAGACUCCUACGGGAGGCAGCAGUGGGGAAUUUUGGACAAUGGGCGCAAGCCUGAUCCAGCAAUGCCGCGUGAGUGAAGAAGGCCUUCGGUUGG